GGGCAGUAGAGGGGCUGGGGAGAGACAGUGAUUCCACCGCGAGAGAGUUUCACAAAAAACACCUUCUGGAGGGAACACACUUCCAAUAACUCUUGAUAACGCCAACACACACUCACACACACACGUUUGACUGCAGCGCCUCACAAUCUGCAGUGCAGCAACAUGAACACCUGCACGUGUGAAUCUGUUGAAAAAGAAAAGGACGCGUGAUGAAGUGGACGCUGUGGUCAGCAGUGAGCGGGUCCAUGGGCGGGUUGCAGACUGCUGGACUGGACUGUUUUCCAGCUCUCCUCACAGGCAGAAGAACCAGACAAAAGGUCACGAGCCGGCCGAUUGGCAGCUGGUAUUUGAGCCCGCCCCCGUUACCGCCAACCGCCGCCAUGACACCAACAAGCGCCGAGCGCUGUACGCUGCGUCCUCCACGCUGACAGGAGGAGCGUGUUGUUUAGCGUGGGGCUCCUCUUCCUCCUCCUCCUUUGAAUCUCAGAGAAGCCUUUUUUAACAGACUGUCAAAGUGCAUUAUGGGAGAUAUUGAAGAUCAAAUAAGUUGUUUAAGGCACUGGUUUCACUUCCUGGUUGUAAAGUCGUGCGUGUGUUGCAGAGCGAUUCACCUCCAGAACAACAGGUGGAGUCACGUGUUUUGUUGAAGACGACCUGGAGAGUCACGUCUUUGUGUGUGGAAGUCGCUGGUUGCUUUAUUUAUUGAUCAUAGACUUUAUUGCCCCGUGCAUCCACACUGCUGCUUUUCAUCACGGACACAUUUGUCCCGUAUUUUCCUCCACGACUUUGUUCCCUCGUUUGUGGAGAUCUCCCUCCAUGAAUCAGAGGCCAUCCGGCGUCCUCAUAGUCCGCCAAUGACGGCUUGUACAAGCGCUCAUAUUUAAAAGCUCUUCAAUCUGAUCCGUUCUCUCGUAAACGUUCUUCCUUUUAAUAACGGCCGUAUUGUGCUGUGAAAACGGAGACGUGAGACUCCGUAAAGGACGUAGUCAGAGACCAAUCACAGCCUGCUGCUGCAGGACGCUGCGUCGCUUUACACGCUGGUCUACAAAAAUGGGUCGACGCACGCAAGGAGGCGUGAAAAGACACGCAGGGGACACGCAAGGGACACGGGAGGGACACGGGAGGGGCUCUUGCGUGUCCCUUGCGUUUCUCUGAAAAUACAGAACUAUGAAUUAGGCUUUAGUUGUCUGAACUCGUAAAGACAGAAACCUGAGACUUAUGGCGAUAUGUUGUGUGUGUUGUGUGUUCAUACUGUACGAUGUGAGUCCCACAGCGUUCAGACGUAACAAGAUGCUAAAAGAAACACUUCUUUAAACGACACUAGGACAUUUCCCAGCAUCCCCUGCCCACACAUUACUCAGUAGCAUAUCCCCUGGCGCCUUCCUCCUCCUCCUCCUCCUCCUCCUCGUCCUGCCUUCCUUCCCUCCUUUCUGACCCUCCGCCCCCACUAAUGUCCCCGUGUCCCCGAGCUGGAGGAGGAGCCGCCUCCUCUUCACCUCCUGCUGUGAGGCUUCCAGCAGCCGAUGUUUGGAGUCGAACAGAAAGCCUCUUUAGCAUCAACACGUCCUCCCGGUAAAUAAAAAGAGACAAUUGUUUGGUGGCGUUGUGAUAGGACACACACACACACACACACAGACACACACAGAAAGUGGCAGUGUGUUAAACGGUUAUUUGCUCUGGCUGCCUGAGCCAAUAGGAUUCAACCAGCCGUGGAGGUGUGGACACACAGAGAGGCUUCGUCCCCGAUUAGACCGAGAGCUCAGAGCUGAGCCCGGGGAUUACCUGUGUGUGUGUGUGUAUGUGUGUGUGUGUGUGUGUGUGUGUGUGUGUGUGUGUGAGUGUGAGAAAGAGAACACAUUUGUGGAACUGCUGUUAACAUUGUGUGUUUGUGGAAAGCAUUGGUGACAUUUUUGUGCCAUAAAGGGCGCAGUGUCAAAAAUGUUUCCUGAAUUCAACAGUUUUGUGUCCUCUGACAUCACAGCGAGGGACUUCGACGUGUCUCACUUGACGUAUGUUGAGCUCACUUGGAGGUCUUAAGAUGCUCCAGCAAACAUUGAGCUGCAGAAAUGAGAUGAAUUUAUUUAGAAUCCAUGUAAAAGGUUGUUUCUCUACAGGGUUUGUAUAGAAGUAACAAAGUAGAUUAUGAGAGAUGAGUCGCUUUUUAAAUUCAACCGUCCUGUGAGCGAACAAAGGCAACUUUCAGCAGCUUAAUACCUCGUCCUACUUGAACUAGUGAGGCUUUAAUAUCUAACGUGACAUCGUUGAUGGUAAAGUGUGUUUGCAGAUGAAGACGUUGUCUCAGUGCUGAUGUCAGACUCUUCACAAGGCGAGAUGAUGAGGAGGCACCGCUUCACUAAAGGGGACACGCGCCUCACUUCCUUCCACUUUUUGGAUCGAGAUGACUUUUAUUAUUGUGGCAAACUCGAUGCAUUGUGGGUAAAUGCUGCAGGUGGAGGUCGUGCGGGGAGCAGCUUGUUUCACAAAGCGAAGCCCGAGGCAGCAGCUCGCCGAGCGCACGACGCCUCCGAGACUCAAAAAGCAGCGAUGUGUUGUGAGGCUCCUGAGCGCACGUGUGUGUGCGUUUGUUCUCGCUGGGAACCACGUGUGAGUAUACAUAUGUAUAUAUGUGUAUAUAUAUAUAUAUAUAUACACAUAUAUACAUAUCGCCAUCCCCCCCGUCGGCCGCCAUAAUGUCCACCCCCGUACUGUCGGCGCCGCCCCACCAUCCUUUUUAUAUAUACAUGUUGGUAUUCUACAUACAUGUAUGCACACAUGUUUAUAGGAUAUGAACAUACAUGUUCUUUGUUGCCCGUGUUGUCGACGUUUAGUUUUUUGCGGUUACUUGGCUCCUCCCCCCCGGCAGCAUGACGAACCAGAGGCUUCAGAGCGGCGCUCCACGACCCCACUGGUGACCUGACGAAGAGUCACAGCAGAACUAUGAAAAUGAUUUAUUUGAUAGUUUAAGAGACUUAUUUGGGUUUAUAAUGCGCCGUGAAGGCCGAGGAAGCAGCGCCGUGAAGAUCAAACAGAGUCACUGACUGAAACAAGUAGCAGAAGGAAUGAAGGGAAGUAGAAACGCGGCGUGCGGGUCACACACGUGCAACUGAGUCAGAAGCAAAACGAUUAUUUGAUAAAUACCAAUAGCUUCUCCAUAACCAGAGAGCGCCGCCUUCAGAAUAAAAGCCUCUCAGAUGACGACUAAUGAAUGAUGAAGAAUAAAAAUGAGAGCGACGGACUUGAUGAAGGACGUCUGCAGGGACGAAGAUCCACGGAACUAAACGCUGAGUGGGCUCUAAUAAUUCACAGUAGUCCUAUUAUUCCAGCUAGAGCUGCACAGCUGGUCCCUGGAGGGGCCCGCGGGGGGCGGGGGGUUCAGGAGCUGGUGGACACUCAGUGUUGCUCAAGGGCACUAUGGUGUGUGUGUGUGUGUGUGUCGGUAAAUCAUCUCUUUCAAAGAGCGUAAUUCAACCAGAUCUGCAAAAAUCAGCUGUUUUCCUCAUGUUUCCUUCUUCUUCUUCUUCUUCUUCUUCUUCUUCUUCUUCUUCUUCUUCUUCUUCUUCUUGCUUUUUCUGUGUGUUUUCCCAGGAAGAAAUAAUUGGCCCAGCCCCCCCGUCCCGCGGGAAGAAGCUGAUUUAUAUUCUGCAACAUGAACACACUCUCACUGCCCCCCCAAGAAAUCGAGUCCUCCUCUUGUUCUUCUCUCCCAGGGAAGCGUUGCCCCCUCGCACUCAGCAGCCAUCCACCCUCGCUGUGGUGGAGAAAAGAGGUGCAUUCUGGGAUUGUUCCCAGCAGGCCACAGCUCCUGGAGGUCCCUGAUUGCUCUUCAUGGAUCUCUUUUGUUCUUCAUGCAGCAGAAACGGGCCUCCCAGAUGAGCUCGCUGAGGAGGCGUUUUACGCCAAGCGCCAAACGUCCUCUAUUUUUAACCACUUAUUAUCUUUACACUGUAAAAAGUUACGUCUCAAGGCGUUCAACGCUCUCUCAAUGACGCAGAGAGUAUUCUUUAUGUCAAUGCUAAUGCUAACACGCUGCCUCAGGUGCUACAAUUUCCUCUGAACGUGUGAGAGCUGUUAGUCACAGAGCAAAGUUCACCAGCUGGUGGACCAGAGCAAAAGAAAUGAACGAAUCUCAUCACACGAUCAUCUCGAAUCACUGAUUUCAUAGUUUCAAUGUUGGUUCCUCCUUCGCGUUCCUGAUUAAUAAGUAAGAAACCUUCGUCUGUAGACGCGCUUCACCCUGAGAUAGAAAACAAUCACAGAUCAGAACCGUAACGACACGUUUCAAAUCCUCUCGUCCUUCUUUUCAAUUUUAUUUUAUAAAAUUUUAUUUAACAGUGCAGCUGUAAAGCUGUGGAGACGAGGAGGCCUCCAACCACGAC
Long non-coding RNA from Gasterosteus aculeatus aculeatus (three-spined stickleback), 4376 nucleotides. Lineage: Eukaryota; Metazoa; Chordata; Actinopteri; Perciformes; Gasterosteidae. The record is from Ensembl.